CGACCACCCAAGGUCGAGAUGUCUGCUGCCGCUUCGAGCCCGAGGCCUUCCUCCAGAUGGGACUUCGAAUGUAACUUCGAGGUUGAUUAUGGGUUUGAGGAACAGGCAUCCAUUGUCUAUAAAACAUUAGCCGCCGUUGACAAGGAGUUACAACCUGACAAGGUCAAGAGAGAGGACUGUUUCUGACGGCAAGAUUUUCGUGUUAGUGUAUUUCCAUUCUGAAAUUUGUAACAGCUAUCUCUGCAUCGCUGCAUGAUGUUUUAAUAUUGAACUCUGAAUGAUUUAGACACUUUGAAGCGGUAGAGGCCCAGUUUCUGCGAGCAUCGUUUGGCGCAUUUGUAGAUCUUAUGGUGCUCAUGACCAAGCUUGUCGAGGAAUAUGGCGUGGCCGACUCUUCAUGAACAACCAUGUGAUGCAGAACUCGCCAGCAUUCAGAUUCUAUUUCUGUGAUUUGCUCUGUAAGGCAUAACGUACGACGAAUGCUGAUACCAAAAGCCUAUGACGCUGAAGCCCUACUUGUAAUGCUGCAUACUGAUAGAUAUGAAGAUCCAACAUUAUACUGUAAAAAGCAUAUGCAAAGUUCACCUGAAAUCCAUGUAGCAUAAUGCAAAACCAUAACCAUGCACUUGCACAGACUCAUGCAAAUAUAUGUGCUGUGAAAUUUAU
Panicum virgatum (switchgrass) is the source of this 666-nucleotide long non-coding RNA. RefSeq lists it as uncharacterized. The record is from RefSeq and is a predicted model, not a curated record. The transcript is spliced from 3 exons. NCBI's taxonomy places the organism in Eukaryota, Viridiplantae, Streptophyta, Magnoliopsida, Poales, Poaceae.